This is a small nucleolar RNA of Arabidopsis thaliana (thale cress), 107 nucleotides long. It matches the Rfam family "Plant small nucleolar RNA R71". Rfam says of the family: R71 is a member of the C/D box family of snoRNAs containing the C (UGAUGA) and D (CUGA) box motifs. Multiple nearly identical copies of this snoRNA have been identified in Arabidopsis, and it is thought to function as a 2'-O-ribose methylation guide for 18S ribosomal RNA. NCBI's taxonomy places the organism in Eukaryota, Viridiplantae, Streptophyta, Magnoliopsida, Brassicales, Brassicaceae. The record is from Rfam.
AAACCGUGAUGGGGGCACUGAGUGGUGCAGCUUUUAAACCUCUCCCAAGCUUCCUAGAAAGUUUCCUUGUUUUUCUUGUUAAAACGUGAGAUCUUGUUCCUCAAUCU